UGAGGAAUAUUGCGCAAUGGGCGAAAGCCUGACGCAGCGACGCCGCGUGGGGAUGAAGUCUUCGGAUUGUAAACCCUUCGGUAGGGAAGGACGCCUAGACAACUAAGGCGGACGGUACCUCCAGAAGCAGCCACGGCUAACUUCGUGCCAGCAGCCGCGGUAAUACGAAGGUGGCAAGCGUUGUUCGGAUUUACUGGGCGUAAAGGGAGCGUAGGUGGUUAGGUAAGCCCUCCGGGAAAUCUUCAGGCUUAACCUGAAAAGGUCGGGGGGGACUGCCUAGCUAGAGGGCGGGAGAGGAGCGCGGAAUUCCCGGUGUAGCGGUGAAAUGCGUAGAGAUCGGGAGGAAGGCCGGUGGCGAAGGCGGCGCUCUGGAACGUUUCUGAUACUGAGGCUCGAAAGCGUGGGGAGCAAACA
This 414-nucleotide ribosomal RNA is filed under the name uncultured Nitrospira sp. RNAcentral's name for it is "bacterial SSU rRNA". It matches the Rfam family "Bacterial small subunit ribosomal RNA", at positions 355 to 774 of the family's 1533-position model. Lineage: Bacteria; Pseudomonadati; Nitrospirota; Nitrospiria; Nitrospirales; Nitrospiraceae. The record is from RNAcentral.